GCAUAUCAAUAAGCGGAGGAAAAGAAACUAACAAGGAUUCCCCUAGUAACUGCGAAGUGAAGCGGGAAAAGCUCAAAUUUAAAAUCUGGCAGUCUUUGGCUGUCCGAGUUGUAGUCUGGAGAAGCGUUUUCCGCGUUGGACCGUGUAUAAGUCUCUUGGAACAGAGCGUCAUAGAGGGUGAGAAUCCCGUCUUUGACACGGACUACCAAUGCUUUGUGAUGCGCUCUCAAAGAGUCGAGUUGUUUGGGAAUGCAGCUCAAAAUGGGUGGUAAAUUCCAUCUAAAGCUAAAUAUUGGCGAGAGACCGAUAGCGAACAAGUACCGUGAGGGAAAGAUGAAAAGCACUUUGGAAAGAGAGUUAAACAGUACGUGAAAUUGCUGAAAGGGAAACGCUUGAAGUCAGUCGCGUCGUUCAGAACUCAACCUGGCUUUUGCUUGGUGUAAUUUCUGCGCGACGGGCCAGCAUCAAUUUUGAUCAUUGGAAAAAGUCCAGAGGAAUGUGGCACCUUCGGGUGUGUUAUAGCCUUUGGUCGUAUACAAUGGUUGGGAUUGAGGAUCUCAGCACGCCUUUAUGGUCGGGGUUCGCCCACGUUCGUGCUUAGGAUGCUGGCGUAAUGGCUUUAAACGACCCGUCUUGAAACACGGACCAAGGAGUCUAACAUGCCUGCGAGUGUUUGGGUGGAAAACCCGAGCGCGUAAUGAAAGUGAAAGUUGGGAUCUCUGUCAUGGAGAGCACCGACGCCCGGACCAGACCUUUUGUGACGGUUCCGCGGUAGAGCAUGUAUGUUGGGACCCGAAAGAUGGUGAACUAUGCCUGAAUAGGGUGAAGCCAGAGGAAACUCUGGUGGAGGCUCGUAGCGAUUUCUGACGUGCAAAUCGAUCGUCAAAUUUGGGUAUAGGGGGCGAAAGACUAAUCGAACCCAUCUAGUAGCUGGUUCCUGCCG
RNAcentral lists this ribosomal RNA (943 nucleotides) under Mutatoderma mutatum. RNAcentral's name for it is "partial large subunit ribosomal RNA". It matches the Rfam family "Eukaryotic large subunit ribosomal RNA", at positions 38 to 963 of the family's 3401-position model. The record is from RNAcentral. Lineage: Eukaryota; Fungi; Basidiomycota; Agaricomycetes; Polyporales; Hyphodermataceae.